RNAcentral lists this ribosomal RNA (490 nucleotides) under uncultured bacterium. Its description in RNAcentral is "partial 16S ribosomal RNA". It matches the Rfam family "Bacterial small subunit ribosomal RNA", at positions 29 to 507 of the family's 1533-position model. The record is from RNAcentral.
AGUGAACGCUGGCGGCAGGCCUAACACAUGCAAGUCGAACGGCAGCACAAGAGAGCUUGCUCUCUGGGCGGCGAGUGGCGGACGGGUGAGGAAUGCAUCGGAAUCUGCCCAUUUGUGGGGGAUAACCUCGGGAAACCGGGACUAAUACCGCAUACGACCUACGGGUGAAAGCAGGGGAUCUUCGGACCUUGCGCAGAUGGAUGAGCCGAUGCCGGAUUAGCUAGUUGGAGGGGUAAAGGCCCACCAAGGCGACGAUCCGUAGCUGGUCUGAGAGGAUGAUCAGCCACACUGGGACUGAGACACGGCCCAGACUCCUACGGGAGGCAGCAGUGGGGAAUAUUGGACAAUGGGCGCAAGCCUGAUCCAGCCAUGCCGCGUGUGUGAAGAAGGCCUUCGGGUUGUAAAGCACUUUUGUUGGGAAAGAAAAGCAGCCGGUUAAUACCCGGUUGUCAUGACGGUACCCAAAGAAUAAGCACCGGCUAACUUCGUG